Molecule: long non-coding RNA, 1116 nt
Filed under: Anser brachyrhynchus (Pink-footed goose)
Lineage: Eukaryota; Metazoa; Chordata; Aves; Anseriformes; Anatidae
Description: lncRNA (ENSABRG00000006380.1)
Source: RNAcentral
AUGCUUAAGAGAGAUCGGGGUUUUGGUCCUGGUUGUUGGUUCCUGAGAUCUGAGUUAUGCUCCAGAAUUUGCAGCCAGAUCCAUCUGGAUUUCAGCGGCUCCUUCAUCCUCUUGUGCCUCCCUCCCUUUUCCAAAAAGAAAGGGAUGACUGUACCCAAAAGAGUCUAUUUUCAAAGGAGGUUCUCUUUGAGCCUCUCCAUAAAAUGCCUUCCUCCCCCCCCCCCAAUUUUCCAAGUAAAAUACAACAGAAAUGAUUCACCAUCGAUGCCAUUUGUGCCAGACCUUGCAAGGAAAUAUUACUUGUGAUGCACAAAGGAUGCUCUGCCUUUCUGCCACCCUGAGCUUUUGCUGGGGUUUUUGGCUGCCUGCUCUGCCCGUCCUGCAGAGAUGCUGCUGGUUUUGGAGCAGAGAUGGCUCCUCUCCCAAUUCAUCCUCCCCGUGCUGAUGGAGCACCACUGAUGGUAGCACGUGCUGCCUGUGGGAGCUGAGCUGAGCUAUCUGGCUGCAGGAACAGCCCUGCCCCAUGGGAGCUCGCUGCUGAAGGGACUCUAGUGACUUUUGCUUGGCUUGUGCUCCCACGAGACUGAAAAUAACUGGAUUUUCCCUGGAAGGAAGAGAUCAAUGAGCAUUUUCAGGAAAUGCAGACCUUCCCUUACUGCUAAAAUGGGUUAUCACUGUCUAAUGACUGCUGUGACAGAGGUCUCUGUGCAAACCUGGGCUCUCGGGGUGACAAUACGGGUACAGCACAGGAUGCAAGGAGACAAUUUGGUAUAGCAGAGCUGGGAGGCUGGUGCGAGUCCUUCUUCCCAAAGGCAUAGAUCAGAGAUAUUUUUCUGCUAUCCUUGGCUUCUUAUGGUUGUUCACAGCAGAAGACCUUUGAGGUUCCUUACCAGCUGCAGAAAACGCCUGUGGCCAUGAGCUGGGCUCCGGAUCGCAGCAGCCUCUGUUAGAGAUGCUCAGAGCUGGAAUUUGCUCUUUCAUUCAAGCUUUGAGGCUUGCAGGGUGAAGUGAGGGACAGCUCAUGAUUAUUAGUAGCUUUAAAAUUAAUAAUGCUCUUUCUAAUCUUCAUCUUUCAUUAUUAAUAAACAUACAGCAUGCUGUGUUAUAGCUAGACCA